UACGGAGGAUCCAAGCGUUUAUCCGGAAUCAUUGGGUUUAAAGGGUCCGUAGGCGGUUUAGUAAGUCAGUGGUGAAAGCCCAUCGCUCAACGGUGGAACGGCCAUUGAUACUGCUAGACUUGAAUUAUUAGGAAGUAACUAGAAUAUGUAGUGUAGCGGUGAAAUGCUUAGAGAUUACAUGGAAUACCAAUUGCGAAGGCAGGUUACUACUAAUGGAUUGACGCUGAUGGACGAAAGCGUGGGUAGCG
Molecule: ribosomal RNA, 248 nt
Filed under: uncultured bacterium
Lineage: Bacteria
Description: partial 16S ribosomal RNA
Rfam family: Bacterial small subunit ribosomal RNA
Source: RNAcentral